UACAGAGGGUGCAAACGUUGUUCGGAAUCACUGGGCCUAAAGCGUACGUAGGCGGCGUCGUAAGUGUCGGAUGAAAUCCCACGGCUUACCCGUGGAACGGUCCGGCAUACUGCGGUGCUAGAGGAUGGUAGAGGAGAGCGGAACUCUUGGUGGAGCGGUGAAAUGCGUAGAUAUCAAGAGGAACACCGGUGGCGAAGGCGGCUCUCUGGUCCAUGUCUGACGCUGAGGUACGAAAGCUAGGGGAGCAAACGGG
RNAcentral lists this ribosomal RNA (253 nucleotides) under uncultured bacterium. RNAcentral describes it as "partial 16S ribosomal RNA". It matches the Rfam family "Bacterial small subunit ribosomal RNA", at positions 524 to 776 of the family's 1533-position model. The record is from RNAcentral.